This 253-nucleotide ribosomal RNA is filed under the name uncultured bacterium. RNAcentral's name for it is "partial 16S ribosomal RNA". It matches the Rfam family "Bacterial small subunit ribosomal RNA", at positions 524 to 776 of the family's 1533-position model. The record is from RNAcentral.
GACGGGGGAUGCAAGCGUUAUCCGGAAUCACUGGGCGUAAAGCGUCUGUAGGUGGUGAUGCAAGUCACUGGUGCAAAACUCUGGCUCAACCGGAGGAAAGCCAGUGAAACUGCAUGACUAGAGUGUGGGAGAGGUAGAAGGAAUUCCCUGAGUAGCGGUGAAAUGCGUAGAUACAGGGAAGAACACCGGAGGCGAAAGCGUUCUACUGAAACACAACUGACUCUGAGAGACGAAAGCUACGGCAGCGAAUGGG